GUGGGGAAUAUUGGACAAUGGGCGAAAGCCUGAUCCAGCCAUGCCGCGUGUGUGAAGAAGGUCUUCGGAUUGUAAAGCACUUUAAGUUGGGAGGAAGGGCAGUAAGUUAAUACCUUGCUGUUUUGACGUUACCAACAGAAUAAGCACCGGCUAACUUCGUGCCAGCAGCCGCGGUAAUACGAAGGGUGCAAGCGUUAAUCGGAAUUACUGGGCGUAAAGCGCGCGUAGGUGGUUCAGCAAGUUGGAGGUGAAAUCCCCGGGCUCAACCUGGGAACUGCCUCCAAAACUACUGAGCUAGAGUACGGUAGAGGGUAGUGGAAUUUCCUGUGUAGCGGUGAAAUGCGUAGAUAUAGGAAGGAACACCAGUGGCGAAGGCGACUACCUGGACUGAUACUGACACUGAGGUGCGAAAGCAUGGGGAGCAAACAGGAUUAGAUACCCGAGUAGUCC
Molecule: ribosomal RNA, 450 nt
Filed under: uncultured bacterium
Lineage: Bacteria
Description: partial 16S ribosomal RNA
Rfam family: Bacterial small subunit ribosomal RNA
Source: RNAcentral